This 460-nucleotide ribosomal RNA is filed under the name uncultured bacterium. Its description in RNAcentral is "partial 16S ribosomal RNA". It matches the Rfam family "Bacterial small subunit ribosomal RNA", at positions 338 to 795 of the family's 1533-position model. The record is from RNAcentral.
CCUACGGGAGGCAGCAGUGAGGAAUAUUGGUCAAUGGGCUUACGCCUGAACCAGCCAAGUCGCGUGAGGGAAGACUGCCCUAUGGGUUGUAAACCUCUUUUGUCAGGGAGCAAUUGGCGCUACGUGUAGCGUUAUCGAGAGUACCUGAAGAAAAAGCAUCGGCUAACUCCGUGCCAGCAGCCGCGGUAAUACGGAGGAUGCGAGCGUUAUCCGGAUUUAUUGGGUUUAAAGGGUGCGUAGGCGGAAUGCCAAGUCAGCGGUAAAAUCGCGGGGCUCAACCUCGCUCCGCAGUUGAAACUGGAGGCCGUGAGUGCACACAGGGAUGCCGGAAUUCAUGGUGUAGCGGUGAAAUGCUUAGAUAUCAUGAAGAACUCCGAUCGCGAAGGCAAGUGUCCGGGGUGCAACUGACGCUGAGGCUCGAAAGUGCGGGUAUCAAACAGGAUUAGAUACCCGGGUAGUC